This 253-nucleotide unclassified non-coding RNA is filed under the name uncultured Cytophagales bacterium. Its description in RNAcentral is "contains 16S-23S intergenic spacer region". It matches the Rfam family "Bacterial small subunit ribosomal RNA", at positions 524 to 776 of the family's 1533-position model. The record is from RNAcentral. Lineage: Bacteria; Pseudomonadati; Bacteroidota; Sphingobacteriia; Sphingobacteriales.
UACGGAGGGUGCAAGCGUUGUCCGGAUUUAUUGGGUUUAAAGGGUGCGUAGGCGGUUUAUUAAGUCAGUGGUGAAAGUCUGUGGCUCAACCAUAGAAUUGCCACUGAUACUGAUAGACUUGAAUUAAGUUGAGGUAGGCGGAAUUCGUGGUGUAGCGGUGAAAUGCAUAGAUACCACGAAGAACACCGAUAGCGUAGGCAGCUUACUAAGCUUAUAUUGACGCUGAGGCACGAAAGCGUGGGUAGCGAACAGG